RNAcentral lists this ribosomal RNA (484 nucleotides) under uncultured bacterium. Its description in RNAcentral is "partial 16S ribosomal RNA". It matches the Rfam family "Bacterial small subunit ribosomal RNA", at positions 28 to 523 of the family's 1533-position model. The record is from RNAcentral.
GACGAACGCUGGCGGCGUGCUUAACACAUGCAAGUCGAACGAUGAAGCCGGAGCUUGCUCUGGUGAAUUAGUGGCGGACGGGUGAGUAACACGUGAGUAACCUGCCCUUGACUCUGGGAUAACUGCUAGAAAUGGUAGCUAAUACCGGAUACGACCCUCGGAGGCAUCUCCAGGGGGUGGAAAGAAUUUCGGUCAAGGAUGGACUCGCGGCCGAUCAGCUAGUUGGUGAGGUAACGGCUCACCAAGGCGACGACGGGUAGCCGGCCUGAGAGGGUGAUCGGCCACACUGGGACUGAGACACGGCCCAGACUCCUACGGGAGGCAGCAGUGGGGAAUAUUGCACAAUGGGCGCAAGCCUGAUGCAGCAACGCCGCGUGAGGGACGACGGCCUUCGGGUUGUAAACCUCUUUUAGUAGGGAAGAAGCGAAAGUGACGGUACCUGCAGAAAAAGCACCGGCUAACUACGUGCCAGCAGCCGCGGUAA